Molecule: ribosomal RNA, 448 nt
Filed under: uncultured Methanosaeta sp.
Lineage: Archaea; Methanobacteriati; Methanobacteriota; Methanomicrobia; Methanotrichales; Methanotrichaceae
Description: bacterial SSU rRNA
Rfam family: Archaeal small subunit ribosomal RNA
Source: RNAcentral
GGAGCCUGCGGUUUAAUUGGAUUCAACGCCGGAAAUCUCACCGGGGCGACAGCAAUAUGAAGGUCAGGCUGAAGACCUUACCCGAUUAGCUGAGAGGUGGUGCAUGGCCGUCGUCAGUUCGUACUGUGAAGCAUCCUGUUAAGUCAGGCAACGAGCGAGACCCACGUCCACAGUUGCCAGCAUACCCUCCGGGGUGAUGGGUACACUGUGGAGACCGCCGCUGCUAAAGCGGAGGAAGGAGUGGGCAACGGUAGGUCAGUAUGCCCCGAAUCUCCCGGGCUACACGCGGGCUACAAUGGUUGGUACAAUGGGCAUCUACCCCGAAAGGGGAAGGAAAUCUCUUAAAGCCAAUCGUAGUUCGGAUUGAGGGCUGCAACUCGCCCUCAUGAAGCUGGAAUCCGUAGUAAUCGCGUUUCAACAGGACGCGGUGAAUACGUCCCUGCUCCUU